CCUACGGGUGGCAGCAGUGGGGAAUAUUGCGCAAUGGGCGAAAGCCUGACGCAGCGACGCCGCGUGAGGGAUGAAGGUCUUCGGAUCGUAAACCUCUGUCAGCAGGGAAGAACGGUCACUGUGCUAAUCAGCAGUGAAUUGACGGUACCUGCAAAGGAAGCACCGGCUAACUACGUGCCAGCAGCCGCGGUAAUACGUAGGGGGCAAGCGUUAUCCGGAUUUACUGGGUGUAAAGGGAGCGUAGACGGCAAUACAAGUCGGAAGUGAAAUACCCGGGCUCAACCUGGGAACUGCUUUGGAAACUGUAUGGCUGGAGUGCUGGAGAGGUAAGCGGAAUUCCUAGUGUAGCGGUGAAAUGCGUAGAUAUUAGGAGGAACACCAGUGGCGAAGGCGGCUUACUGGACAGUAACUGACGUUGAGGCUCGAAAGCGUGGGGAGCAAACAGGAUUAGAUACCCUAGUAGUC
Molecule: ribosomal RNA, 465 nt
Filed under: uncultured bacterium
Lineage: Bacteria
Description: partial 16S ribosomal RNA
Rfam family: Bacterial small subunit ribosomal RNA
Source: RNAcentral